AUUGAACGCUGGCGGCAGGCUUAACACAUGCAAGUCGAGCGGUAACAUUUCUAGCUUGCUAGAAGAUGACGAGCGGCGGACGGGUGAGUAAUACUUAGGAAUCUACCUAGUAGUGGGGGAUAGCUCGGGGAAACUCGAAUUAAUACCGCAUACGACCUACGGGAGAAAGGGGGCAACUUGUUGCUCUCGCUAUUAGAUGAGCCUAAGUCGGAUUAGCUAGUUGGUGGGGUAAAGGCCUACCAAGGCGACGAUCUGUAGCUGGUCUGAGAGGAUGAUCAGCCACACCGGGACUGAGACACGGCCCGGACUCCUACGGGAGGCAGCAGUGGGGAAUAUUGGACAAUGGGGGCAACCCUGAUCCAGCCAUGCCGCGUGUGUGAAGAAGGCCUUUUGGUUGUAAAGCACUUUAAGCAGUGAAGAAGACUUCAUGGUUAAUACCCAUGGACGAUGACAUUAGCUGCAGAAUAAGCACCGGCUAACUCUGUGCCAGCAGCCGCGGUAAUACAGAGGGUGCAAGCGUUAAUCGGAAUUACUGGGCGUAAAGGGAGCGUAGGUGGCUCGAUAAGUCAGAUGUGAAAGCCCCGGGCUUAACCUGGGAACGGCAUCUGAUACUGUUGAGCUAGAGUAUGUGAGAGGAAGGUAGAAUUCCAGGUGUAGCGGUGAAAUGCGUAGAGAUCUGGAGGAAUACCGAUGGCGAAGGCAGCCUUCUGGCAUAAUACUGACACUGAGGCUCGAAAGCGUGGGUAGCAAACAGGAUUAGAUACCCUGGUAGUCC
RNAcentral lists this ribosomal RNA (775 nucleotides) under uncultured bacterium. RNAcentral describes it as "bacterial SSU rRNA". It matches the Rfam family "Bacterial small subunit ribosomal RNA", at positions 28 to 796 of the family's 1533-position model. The record is from RNAcentral.